Molecule: ribosomal RNA, 468 nt
Filed under: uncultured bacterium
Lineage: Bacteria
Description: partial 16S ribosomal RNA
Rfam family: Bacterial small subunit ribosomal RNA
Source: RNAcentral
GACGAACGCUGGCGGCGUGCUUAACACAUGCAAGUCGAACGGAAAGGCCCUGCUUUUGUGGGGUGCUCGAGUGGCGAACGGGUGAGUAACACGUGAGUAACCUGCCCUUGACUUUGGGAUAACUUCAGGAAACUGGGGCUAAUACCGGAUAGGAGCUCCUGUUGCAUGGUGGGGGUUGGAAAGUUUCGGCGGUUGGGGAUGGACUCGCGGCUUAUCAGCUUGUUGGUGGGGUAGUGGCUUACCAAGGCUUUGACGGGUAGCCGGCCUGAGAGGGUGACCGGCCACAUUGGGACUGAGAUACGGCGCAGACUCCUACGGGAGGCAGCAGUGGGGAAUAUUGCACAAUGGGCGGAAGCCUGAUGCAGCAACGCCGCGUGCGGGAUGACGGCCUUCGGGUUGUAAACCGCUUUCGCCUGUGACGAAGCGUGAGUGACGGUAAUGGGUAAAGAAGCACCGGCUAACUACGUG